Molecule: ribosomal RNA, 131 nt
Filed under: Ipomoea nil (Japanese morning glory)
Lineage: Eukaryota; Viridiplantae; Streptophyta; Magnoliopsida; Solanales; Convolvulaceae
Description: 5.8S ribosomal RNA
Rfam family: 5.8S ribosomal RNA
About the family: 5.8S ribosomal RNA (5.8S rRNA) is a component of the large subunit of the eukaryotic ribosome. It is transcribed by RNA polymerase I as part of the 45S precursor that also contains 18S and 28S rRNA. Functionally, it is thought that 5.8S rRNA may be involved in ribosome translocation.
Source: Rfam by way of RNAcentral
GCUCUCGCAUCGAUAAGAACGUAGCGAAAUGCGAUACUUGGUGUGAAUUGCAGAAUCCCGUGAACCAUCGAGUCUUUGAACGCAAGUUGCGCCCGAAGCCGUUAGGCCGAGGCACGUCUGCCUGGGCGUCA